This 889-nucleotide ribosomal RNA is filed under the name uncultured Nitrosopumilales archaeon. RNAcentral's name for it is "bacterial SSU rRNA". It matches the Rfam family "Archaeal small subunit ribosomal RNA", at positions 8 to 903 of the family's 1478-position model. The record is from RNAcentral. Lineage: Archaea; Thermoproteati; Nitrososphaerota; Nitrososphaeria; Nitrosopumilales.
UUGAUCCCGCCGGACCUGACUGCUAUCGGAUUGAUACUAAGCCAUGCGAGUCAUUGUAGCAAUGCAAGGCAGACGGCUCAGUAACGCGUAGUCAACCUACCCUAUGGACGGGAAUAAUCUCGGGAAACUGAGGAUAAUUCCAGAUAGAACACUAUGCCUGGAACGGUUUGUGUUCCAAAUGAUUUAUCGCCAUAGGAUGGGACUGCGGCCUAUCAGUUUGUUGGUGAGGUAAUGGCCCACCAAGACUAUUACAGGUACGGGCUCUGAGAGGAGUAGCCCGGAGAUGGGUACUGAGACACGGACCCAGGCCCUAUGGGGCGCAGCAGGCGAGAAAACUUUGCAAUGUGCGAAAGCACGACAAGGUUAAUCCGAGUGGUUCCUGCUAAAGGAACCUUUUGACGGUCCUAAAAACACCGUUGAAUAAGGGGUGGGCAAGUUCUGGUGUCAGCCGCCGCGGUAAAACCAGCACCUCAAGUGGUCAGGAUGAUUAUUGGGCCUAAAGCAUCCGUAGCCGGCUCUGUUAGUUUUCGGUUAAAUCUGUACGCUCAACGUACAGGCUGCCGGGAAUACUACAGAGCUAGGGAGUGGGAGAGGUAGACGGUACUUGGUAGGAAGGGGUAAAAUCCUUUGAUCUAUUGAUGACCACCUGUGGCGAAGGCGGUCUACUAGAACACGUCCGACGGUGAGGGAUGAAAGCUGGGGGAGCAAACCGGAUUAGAUACCCGGGUAGUCCCAGCUGUAAACCAUGCAAACUCAAUGAUGCACUGGCUUGAAGCCAAUGCAGUGUUGCAGGGAAGCCGUUAAGUUUGCCGCCUGGGAAGUACGUACGCAAGUAUGAAACUUAAAGGAAUUGGCGGGGGAGCACCACAAGGGGUGAAGCCUGCGGUUC